AUGUUAGAAGGAUACAAUGCAUUGUUGCAGAAUGACACUUGGUUGUUGGUUGCUCAUCCUGUAGGUACAAACGUGGUGACCGGCAAAUGGAUUUUUUGCCACAAGUUCAACCCCGACGGUUCCUUGCAUGACAAGGCGAGGUGGGUGCUCCGCGGCUUCACGCAACAAGACAACAUCGACUACGGAGAGACCUUCAGCCCGGUGAUCAAACUGGCCACGAUAUGUGUCGUCCUCAGCCUCGCCACCAGCAACUCAUGGCCAAUCCACCAACUCGACAUGAAGAAAGCAUUCUUGCACGGUCACCUUGCCGAGACCGUGUACAGCGCCCAAACUGUUGGAUUCAUUGAUUCUGCUCACCCCAAGGACGUGUGUCGCCUCAAACAUUCUCUUUACGGGUUAAAACAGGCACCCAGGGCAUGGUUCUCACAGUUCACUUCCUAUCUAGUCUCCCUUGUAUUUUCUUGA
RNAcentral lists this ribosomal RNA (465 nucleotides) under Triticum aestivum (bread wheat). Its description in RNAcentral is "partial small subunit ribosomal RNA". Lineage: Eukaryota; Viridiplantae; Streptophyta; Magnoliopsida; Poales; Poaceae. The record is from RNAcentral.